This 400-nucleotide ribosomal RNA is filed under the name uncultured bacterium. RNAcentral describes it as "bacterial SSU rRNA". It matches the Rfam family "Bacterial small subunit ribosomal RNA", at positions 355 to 772 of the family's 1533-position model. The record is from RNAcentral.
GAAGGAAUAUUGGACAAUGGGCGAAAGCCUGAUCCAGCAAUACCGCGUGAAUGAUGAAGGCCUUAGGGUUGUAAAAUUCUUUUAAUAGGGAAGAUAAUGACGGUACCUAUAGAAAAAGCCCCGGCUAACUCCGUGCCAGCAGCCGCGGUAAGACGGAGGGGGCUAGCGUUGUUCGGAAUUACUGGGCGUAAAGGGCGCGUAGGCGGAUUAGUAAGUUGGGAGUGAAAUCCCGGGGCUUAACCUCGGAACUGCUUUCAAAACUACUAGUCUUGAGUGAAGUAGGGGGUGAUGGAAUUCCUAGUGUAGAGGUGAAAUUCUUAGAUAUUAGGAGGAACACCGGUGGCGAAGGCGGUCACCUGGACUUCAACUGACGCUGAGGCGCGAAAGCGUGGGGAGCAAA